GUCAGUAGUCCCGGCGACUCAGGAGGCUGAGGCGAGAAGAUCACUUGAGUCCAGGAGUUCUGGGCUGUAGUGAGCUAUGCUGACUGGGUGUCCACACUAAGUUCACCAUCAAUAUGGUGAACUCCAAGGAGCGGGGAACCACCAGGUUGACUAAGGAGGAGUGAUCCAGCCCAGGUCAGAAAUGGAGUAGGUCAAAACUUCUGUGCUGAUCAGCAGUGGGAUCUCACCUGUGAAUAGCCACUGCACUCCAGCCUGGGCAACAUAACAAGACUCUGUCUCUU
This is a non-coding RNA of Nomascus leucogenys (northern white-cheeked gibbon), 281 nucleotides long. It matches the Rfam family "Metazoan signal recognition particle RNA". From Rfam's summary of the family: The signal recognition particle (SRP) is a universally conserved ribonucleoprotein. It is involved in the co-translational targeting of proteins to membranes. Lineage: Eukaryota; Metazoa; Chordata; Mammalia; Primates; Hylobatidae. The record is from Rfam.